CCUACGGGUGGCAGCAGUGAGGAAUAUUGGUCAAUGGGCGCAGGCCUGAACCAGCCAAGCCGCGUGAGGGAUGACGGUCCUAUGGAUUGUAAACCUCUUUUGUCGGGGAGCAAGGCCCGCCACGUGUGGCGGGAAGGAGAGUACCCGAAGAAAAAGCAUCGGCUAACUCCGUGCCAGCAGCCGCGGUAAUACGGGGGAUGCGAGUGUUAUCCGGAUUUAUUGGGUUUAAAGGGUGCGUAGGCGGAAGGUUAAGUCAGCGGUCAAAUGUCGGUGCUCAACACCGGCCUGCCGUUGAGACUGGUCGUCUUGAGUGAGGGAGAGGUAUGCGGAAUGCGUGGUGUAGCGGUGAAAUGCAGAGAUAUCACGCAGAACACCGAUGGAGAAGGCAGCAUACCGGCGCUCAACUGACGCUGAGGCACGAAAGCGUGGGGAGCGAACAGGAUUAGAUACCCCAGUAGUC
RNAcentral lists this ribosomal RNA (460 nucleotides) under uncultured bacterium. RNAcentral's name for it is "partial 16S ribosomal RNA". It matches the Rfam family "Bacterial small subunit ribosomal RNA", at positions 338 to 795 of the family's 1533-position model. The record is from RNAcentral.